ACCCUGAAUAUAAGACGGCCCCCAUUUUUUCAGUCUUAUUUCAAUGCAAAAAAACAACGUCUUAAAUUCGGACCAAUACGGUAUAUAAAUAAAUGUUUGGCUUCCGAAGAUGAA
This is a long non-coding RNA of Hippocampus comes (tiger tail seahorse), 114 nucleotides long. RefSeq lists it as uncharacterized. The transcript has 5 exons. Lineage: Eukaryota; Metazoa; Chordata; Actinopteri; Syngnathiformes; Syngnathidae. The record is from RefSeq and is a predicted model, not a curated record.